GGCCGCGGGAAUUCCAUUAAAGCCUAACACAUGCAAGUCGAACGGAAAGGCCUCCUUUUGCUGGGGUACUCGAGUGGCGAACGGGUGAGUAACACGUGGGUGAUCUGCCCUGCACUUUGGGAUAAGCUUGGGAAACUGGGUCUAAUACCGAAUAUGACCACUUCUUGGAUGUUGUGAUGGAAAGCUUUUGCGGUGUGGGAUGAGCCUGCGGCCUAUCAGCUUGUUGGUGGGGUAAUGGCCUACCAAGGCGGCGACGGGUAUCCGGCCUGAGAGGGUGUACGGACACAUUGGGACUGAGAUACGGCCCAGACUCCUACGGGAGGCAGCAGUGGGGAAUAUUGCACAAUGUUUUCAAGCCUGAUGCAGCGACGCCGCGUGGGGGAUGAAGGCCUUCGGGUUGUAAACUCCUUUCGCUAUCGACGAAGCCACUUGUGGUGACGGUAGGUAGAUAAGAAGCACCGGCUAACUACGUGCCAGCAGCCGCGGUAAUACGUACGGUGCAAGCGUUGUCCGGAAUUACUGGGCGUAAAGAGCUCGUAGGUGGUUUGUCGCGUCGUCUGUGAAAUCCCGGGGCUUAACUUCGGGCGUGCAGGCGAUACGGGCAUAAC
RNAcentral lists this ribosomal RNA (608 nucleotides) under uncultured bacterium. RNAcentral describes it as "bacterial SSU rRNA". It matches the Rfam family "Bacterial small subunit ribosomal RNA", at positions 20 to 641 of the family's 1533-position model. The record is from RNAcentral.